CUUUCAAACAAAUAUUAGGAAUUAUAAUCAUCCCUAUUUUACAGAUGAACAGCCUGAGACUCAGAGAAGUUAAAUUCUUUCGUCCCUCUUUUCCCUCCCUCCUGCCUUCCUUCCUGGUUCCUUCUCUUUCUUUCAACAAAGUUGAACUAAAAGGCUAAUAGAACAUGGUGUCUUUCUCCCAAGGUUUCACUUUGUCUGAAGGUAGCAGAAUUGUAGCUAUGUAAUUGCUGCUAUAGCAGAGGAAUGAACUCAGCAAUAUGGGAGUUCAGAGUAUGAAGCCUUCUGUUCUAUGUGGAUAUCAGAGAAGACUUCCUGGAAGAGGACAUGUUUGAGUUGAGUCUUAAAAGAUAAGAAAGAGUCCGUUAGUAGACAAGGAAGAUAAGGCAACAGUAACAGCGUGGCAGAUACUGCUGGCUUCUCGCUCAACAGCCAUUACCUUUUGUCUUUCUGGAAAAGCCAAGAUUUUGCUCAGGUGUUCCUUUUCCUACUUGAUCUGAGGGAGAGUGACCAUAUCCCUACCUUCAGGAGUAAGUACUGAGUGGUUUAAGCCGAUUAUGGUGAGUCCAUUCCUCUAGUUUGAUUAGCUUAGGGGUGGGCAUUUGAACGAGUUCUGGCCAAGGCCAUAUAAAAGGAAAUCUGCUGGGUGACUUAGGAAAUGUUUCUUGCCCUUAAGAGGGAGACACUGGAAGAGAUAGCCAUCUUUUUUUGUCUCUAGGUAUUGCUGUACUUGGAAGGGAUGUUUAGAACUACCACGGCCGUCUUGUGACCAUGAAGGGCAGCCAAUCUGAGGGCAAAUAAAAUUUUCUGAGGAUGGUAAAGCAAAGAAAUAAAAACCAGUGUCUUCAAUGACAUCGUUGAGUUCAUGGACAACUGUGCCUGCUUUUCAAUUCAUGUUACCUGGUGUUAUAAUUGUCCUUGUUCCAUCAGCAGGUUUGGAUUGAAGUCUUCUGCAAUGGCAUCCUCACUGAUAACAGAGCAGAUGCAAAUCAUAGGGCUCAGAAAGGUCACAGGGCACUUAGAAACGGCCAAUAGUUCCUCACGUCUGAAAUGCAGGAUAUUGUGGAGUGGAGAGUGAGAUGACGGCUAGAGAUAAGGUGAAAUACUAGACAAGGGUCAGAUCAUGAAGGGCCUUGUAUGUUAGGAUCAGACAUUUGCACUUUAUUUUGUACGUACUGGGGAGGCAUUGAAAAGUUUCAAGCAAGGUAAUGGUAUAAUUAGGUUUGCAGUUUAGAAGCAUUCGUCUGACUACUGUGUGGUGGAUUGAAGAGUACCCUCUGAUAAGACACCAAGGUCAUUCAGUUCAAGAACAAAUGGAUUCACACGCAGCCACCUAAAAAUAUUCAGCUGCUUUUCCUGCUGAAGCACUCAGAUGACCCACAGGACAAAGGCACAGUUCAACCCCUUCAAUUACGGAUGAGCUAAAUGAAGCUGAGGGAUGAGAUGUGACUGGUUCAAGGUCACAGAACCAGUGACUGAGAGAACGGAUUAGAACCCACUCUUUUUUUCAGCUUCAUUGAGUGCACAACAGUAGAAGCCACUCUUGCAAGCUCCAAUCAAGGUGUUCUUUCUGCUACCAGAUGAUCAUUGAUCGCUGCACUCAGAGUUUCAGACCUUUCACAUGGGCUCUGGAGAAAGAGAAAGGCUGUCUGACUUAUUGAGGUGGAUGCCAAAAGUUUGUUAACCUAAGUCCUGCUCUUGGCUCACUGUGUUCUAGAAUAACUCAGUUUUCACUUCAGCUAGAUGGAGUAAAAUGGGAUCAUCUGCCUGGGAAAACGGCCCUUUGUGGACAGUCCUCAAUCAUGCUUGGAUUCCGCAUCAUCAGCCACGUCAGCAACGUGUCAUUAACCUGAAAAAACUCACCAGGCCUUCAGAAUGCUGAGUGACAGAUGAGGCGCACCUCCGUGCUCUGGCUCUGCCUAACCACACCACCAUGAAAUACAUUGCUUAUAACUCUACCAUUCCUUCUGUAACCCAAGGUUACUUGUAGGAGAAAUAGAAACCAAGGCGUAUCACUGUGUUUCCUUCUCUCUCUAACUCGAUAUGGGUGAAAUCAGUUUUAAAUUAAGGUCGUCCUCUCACCACGUUUUGCUUUGCCCCUCUGCUCACAUUGCGGCUUUCUGGGCUCUGCUCUGAGAAGUGAGGUAUGAGCGUGGCUGCCCACGUUUCCUACGGUCUGUCUGCGAGUCACCAUAACCCCUCGGGGUUGAUGAGUGCAGCAAGUAGGCUUUCACUGAAUCUCCACUUUCUUCCCUUUUUUUCCCCUAGAUGCUUUUCCCCGGCCCAGAUAGAACUUUUCCUUCUACCCCGUGUCCUGAGAAAUGCCAUUACAUCAUAAACUAUAUCCUUCCUACUCUGUGACGUAUGUUCAAGACGCUUUGCUCUGAAUACUCCAGGUUUUGGGCCUAUAAAUCCUUUUAUCCUACAACAAAUCCUGGCUCUUGCAAAUGCAAUCAAGCUUUAGCUUUAAGAGUUACUUUCUCCAAAAUAAUUUUUAUUUAAGAAUCUAUCAUGAAAGCCAGAAUUUAACAACUGAGGAAGAAGGGCAGGUAGUGAGGGACUGGACUGAAAACAGAGAUUGUUCAAAUGUGCAUUUUGAGUGGUGAGAUCCUUCAGCUUCCUUCCAUAUCCGGUUAUCUUUCCUCAGGAAGCUACAGGAGGAUGUGCUCCACCAAUAUGAGGGACUAAACCAAGAAAGAGGAAGUGUGGGAUUCAGGAAGCAGGAGAAAUAUGUAGGGAAUUCUCAGGAUGGUGCUGAAGGAAAAUCCCAGGAUGACAGCUGUGCAUUAGGUCCAGACUGGAAGAGAGGAUGGAGGGCUCCAGGGAAAAAGGAUCAUCGAGUUGCUUUUGCUGUAUGGAAAGUUGAACUGAGUUGCUGUUAAAGGGCCUGGGCAGAUCUAGCUUCUAGAACAAGAUAAAAAAAAGGAUCUCACCAAAUUCUAAGGAGGAACAGUUACUGAUUCCAGAAAAAAAAAAGUUGCACCAAGAAGGAUAGGUAAUCAUAGUCAGCCACUUAAUUCAGCAGUGAACAAUAUUUAAAUGUCCAAUUAAUGUAAGCUCUGACUGUUGCUUUGAUUAAAAAAGAAAACACGGCAUAUAUUUAUGAUGGAAAAAUGGGGAGAGGAAGAUGGAUGUGAGUGUAGAGCAGUACUCUCAUCUUUCAUGUUACUCUUGUCCUUGUUUACAGCCAGUUAAGGAUUUGUAUCUGGUACUCCUCUUCAUGAUCCCUGCUACAGCGCUGCGCUCUUGUCAUUUCAGAAGUUCUCUUUCUUCAACUUUCUCUGCCUUCUUUUUUCCUAGAGCUUCAUUUCAAUCUCCUGCUCUUUGAGAACUCUUCUCUACUGUCUCAUUAGCAUUUUUUCUUACAAUUUCUCAGAGGUCUUUACACUUUAGCAAUUUUUGCAUUUCUUCAAAAAUUUUAAAUAUUUU
This 3426-nucleotide long non-coding RNA is filed under the name Equus asinus (donkey). RNAcentral's name for it is "lncRNA (ENSEASG00005036239.1)". The record is from RNAcentral. Lineage: Eukaryota; Metazoa; Chordata; Mammalia; Perissodactyla; Equidae.